This 1066-nucleotide long non-coding RNA is filed under the name Mus musculus (house mouse). RNAcentral's name for it is "long non-coding RNA chr2:34777802-34778868". The record is from RNAcentral. Lineage: Eukaryota; Metazoa; Chordata; Mammalia; Rodentia; Muridae.
UGGUCAAGGACUCAAGGUUAAGAAUGAUUUGCUGAUCAUAAAGAUGUAUAAAAACCAUCUUCUGUUAGAACCAAAUAAUGGAAGCAUACUUUUUAAAAUUGACUUGUUUAUUUUUGAGAGUAAGUCUUGAUCAGUGAAGAUUUUUGUCCAGGGCUAAUGUGGUAUGGGAAUUGAACUCAAGACCUUCGGAAGAGCGCUGGUGCUCUUACCCACUGGGCCACUUUGCCAGCCUCACCCCCACCCCGUCUCACUUUUUUUUUUUUUUUAAAGAUUUUAUUUAUUUGAGUCCACUGUGGGUAUUGGAUUCCAUUACAGAUGGUUGUGAGCCACCAUGUGGUUGAUGGGAAUUGAAUUCAGGACCUCUGGAAGAGCACUGCCAUCUCUCCAGUCCCCGUCUCACUCUUGAGAUUCAUUUUUGUACACUACCUGAUACACUUUGAACCCAGCUUGGGCUUGGUAGCUCAUGCUACUUAUUUCUUCACUCAGGAGGCUGACUGAGGCAGGAUUAUAGCAAGUUCACAGUUACACCUUGAGAUUCUUUCUACAUCAUCUGUCUUACUCCCAUUCAUACUUCCUAAAAGGGGAGAGAGGAGCAUGAUAUAGUACAUGUCUGUAAUCCUAGCACACUGGGACACCGAGGCAGGAGGAUGAUAAAUUUGAGGCCAGCCUAUGCUGUCAGAUUUUUCUAUCAAACACAAGUAUUUGGGGCCAAGUGAAAUGUUAAAAUUGAUUUGUACAACUUCAUGCUGGGUCCAGGGAUGGUUAAUAACAAGAGCCAGUCCUCAUCCUUUGUCCCCCAUUACCAGCAGGGUCCUACUACAUAGGCAUGCACCACCACACCCAGCUUUUCUUUUUCUUUUUUUACUUUUUUUUUUUCCAGAUGGGUAAUAUGCCCACACCUGAACAAGGUUUAGGGGAGGUACAUAUUCUGUGAACACCCAGUCAUUGUGAUUAUGAACCAAAUAAGGAUCUCCCACACUGCUCUUGUAACUGCUAUCUUUCUAGCCUCCUGCCUGUACUUUUUUCUAGUGAUUCGCUAAUACAUAUUAAAGAGUGUCUAACUCGU